UACGUAGGGGGCGAGCGUUGUCCGGAAUUAUUGGGCGUAAAGAGCUCGUAGGCGGCUCAGCAAGUCGGCUGUGAAAUCCCGAGGCUCAACCUCGGAACUGCAGUCGAUACUGCUGUGGCUAGAGUCUGGUAGAGGAGAGUGGAAUUCCCGGUGUAGCGGUGAAAUGCGCAGAUAUCGGGAGGAACACCAGUAGCGAAGGCGGCUCUCUGGGCCAGUACUGACGCUGAGGAGCGAAAGCGUGGGGAGCAAACAGG
RNAcentral lists this ribosomal RNA (254 nucleotides) under uncultured bacterium. Its description in RNAcentral is "partial 16S ribosomal RNA". It matches the Rfam family "Bacterial small subunit ribosomal RNA", at positions 524 to 776 of the family's 1533-position model. The record is from RNAcentral.